ACAGAGACGCAGCAUCGGGAUGGUAUAGCUUAGCUAAAUUCCGGUAAGCUGUUUUUAUCUCUUUGGGUGACGCAUUUGAUUUUACCCUUAGUACAUCGUAGAGACUCGCCGGUGUUCUCCUUUGCAAUUCCGGCGGUGCUUCCGCAACGGCGGCGGCAUAUACCGCUGCUGUUCGAUUAUUCCUUCGGGGAAAUGUGACUCCGGAUCUGAAACCGGCUGUGGAAGAAGGAAGGUUGUGUAGAGAAAAACGGAAAGUAUUUCCGGCCGGUAGUGUUAG
This 277-nucleotide unclassified non-coding RNA is filed under the name Hevea brasiliensis (rubber tree). Lineage: Eukaryota; Viridiplantae; Streptophyta; Magnoliopsida; Malpighiales; Euphorbiaceae. The record is from RNAcentral.